CAAGGUUUUAUGGAAGAAGAGUCAGAAUGUUGAGCUGGAUUUCAAAGAGCUCAGCAAAGAAGACCAGAAUGGGCAUCAGCUACCUCCUGAAUCACUGCCCAGUUGCCAGCUGCAAGUCCUAGUUCCAAAGAAGCAAAUGUCCACAGCACAAGGCCAGAAGACUCUCUGAAAGGGUAGUGCUGUCAGAUAAUAGCAGAAGGAGCUGCUAUUCUGAAGUCAGGCGCAGUUCACAUUAGCUUCAGGAUUAAUUUCAU
Balaenoptera musculus (blue whale) is the source of this 254-nucleotide long non-coding RNA. RefSeq lists it as uncharacterized. The transcript is spliced from 3 exons. The record is from RefSeq and is a predicted model, not a curated record. Lineage: Eukaryota; Metazoa; Chordata; Mammalia; Artiodactyla; Balaenopteridae.